ACCCCAUGAAGUUUUGGAUCUCCUCUCUCUGUGGGCAGCUCCUCCUCUCUGUGCACCGCUAUCUACCCGUGCAUCUUCCUUCAAAGUUGCUGUCCUUUCUGUAGAUUGAAACAAAAGGGAAAAAGAGCAGAAACAUAAAGCGAAAAUCUUUGAAAAUGCUUAAACAAAAGAACAAAGUUUGAAGUAUCCAUCCAAAUCAAGAAGUAUUUAGAUAUCUAGCAAUUUUUCUCUAUCUAGCAGUUUGAAGUAUCCAUCCAAAUGAAGAUGUAUGAUGUAAUAGUUAGUUGUAAACUCAUGGUUCGGACCGUACGUGUAAUGAGCAGGUGCCUAGAAAUAAUGAGAUCAGAAAAUGGCCAUUUGGCUCCCUGAAUCA
Molecule: long non-coding RNA, 373 nt
Organism: Juglans microcarpa x Juglans regia
Lineage: Eukaryota; Viridiplantae; Streptophyta; Magnoliopsida; Fagales; Juglandaceae
Exons: 2
Source: RefSeq, a predicted model, not a curated record